RNAcentral lists this transfer RNA (73 nucleotides) under Caudoviricetes sp. RNAcentral's name for it is "tRNA-OTHER". It matches the Rfam family "tRNA". Rfam says of the family: Transfer RNA (tRNA) molecules are approximately 80 nucleotides in length. The record is from RNAcentral. Lineage: Duplodnaviria; Heunggongvirae; Uroviricota; Caudoviricetes.
GCAGACGUAGCUCAGUCGGCAGAGCACCGCGCCGGGAGGUAUGUCGUUGGUUCGAGUCCAACCGUCUGCACCA